UACGUAGGGUGCGAGCGUUUAAUCGGAAUUACUGGGCGUAAAGCGUGCGCAGGCGGUUUUGUAAGCCAGAUGUGAAAUCCCCGGGCUUAACCUGGGAAUGGCAUUUGGGACUGCAAGGCUCGAGUGCGGCAGAGGAGACUGGAAUUCCUGGUGUAGCAGUGAAAUGCGUAGAUAUCAGGAGGAACACCGAUGGCGAAGGCGGGUCUCUGGGCCGAUACUGACGCUGAGGAGCGAAAGCGUGGGGAGCGAAACAGGG
Molecule: ribosomal RNA, 256 nt
Filed under: uncultured bacterium
Lineage: Bacteria
Description: partial 16S ribosomal RNA
Rfam family: Bacterial small subunit ribosomal RNA
Source: RNAcentral